CAAAGACCAUAUCCCCGUGAUUUUACAGCCGUAAACUCAUGGGUGGUGUGUUCUUGGAUGCUUAAUGGUCUUACAAUGCACAAAGGAAGGUUCUAGGGUUGUUUCCAUGUCUUAGGAAGUGAUCGGGACUUGAAUUUACCUUGGAAAAGGAGUUUACGGUCUAUGAAGGUGNAAGUUUACUACCUUAAACACAUAAGUUUAGAGCCGUAAGCUCAUGUUUGUCCAUGAAUCAUGUGUUUUGGUGGUUGUAGGUUAAGCAUACAAAGUUCUAGGUCCAAUUCUAAGCCAUACAAGGUGUUAAGGGCACUUUAACACCCUUUGGAGGUGUUUAUGGUCUAAGAAGGGGUGUUUACGGUUUUGGGAGACUUUCCCAAACUGUAAACUCAAGUGUGACUCAUUUGUGUAUGUUUUGGUGCAUCUCAUGAAGGAAUAUAAGGUUCUAUGCACUCAUGGAAGCUCAUGGAAGCUUUUGGAGGUGUUUAAGGGGCAAUUUAACACCAUAAAAGGUGUUUAUGGUCUAUGAAUGAGGGUUUAUGGUCCAAGCAUGUUCUUGGGCCGUAAAAUCAUGUUUACCCCUCAAAUGUUAUGGUUUUGGUGAUCUAAGUCCAAUCUUGUAAGCCCAUACGUCAUAUCUAAGCACUAGAAGUGGUUUGGAAGGGUUUUGGGGCUUCAAAAACCCAUUUAUAGGUGUUCACGGUUUGAGGAGGUUCCUAGACCGUAAACACAAGUUCUUGGUCCUAUUUCAUGAUUUAAAUACGAAUUUGAAAGCUAAACAUGUUAUACUAUGAGCUAGGAUGGAUUUCUUACCAAAUUUGAGCUUGAAAUGGAUGAUUUUGGAUCAAAGUCGAGUUUUAGAGAGAGAGUAGAGAGAGAAAGUUACGAGGUGGUGGUAAAAAGCUAAAUUGAAGUUCACUCAUCCUUUUUAGAGAGAGAGUAGAGAGAGAAAGUUAUGAGGUGGUGGUAAAAAGCUAAAUUAAAGUUCACUCAUCCUUUAUAUAAGGCUUGAGUUUGUGGCUCGGUGGAAAUCUACCUGAUACUGACGUUAAACGAGGCUUAUGGUCGUACCCGAUUAAUUGUCGUAAUUACGACUUAGUCGUAACUAAAAUUUUUCCAAAUAAAUAACGAGGGUAUUUUCACGUGUUUCUAAUGGGUUU
RNAcentral lists this long non-coding RNA (1154 nucleotides) under Lactuca sativa (garden lettuce). RNAcentral's name for it is "long non-coding RNA (LSAT_LNC010349)". Lineage: Eukaryota; Viridiplantae; Streptophyta; Magnoliopsida; Asterales; Asteraceae. The record is from RNAcentral.